AGCAAAGUGUAAUGUAAAUGUAAUGAAGAAAUGGUCCGAAGUAUGUAGCGGUUGUACCAGAAUGUUAUCUGCAGUAGAUGCCUCAUUACUGAUUUUCUGGAGCUCAGCCAUCCAACUACACAGACUGUCAGCACACUCUCAACAGUUUAAGAGAACAUGUAAGUGUGACCAGCUCUAUUCAGUUAAGGAUACUCUCCUCUUCUUCACUAAAUGCUGUCACAUCCUACAAUCAUCAUCUGCAGAGAGAAACUGCCAUUCAAUCACACCAAAAUACAGAUAACGAUUAACUUAGAGGCAUCGUAGAGGAUUGUGAAGAUAUUUCACUGGAGCUUGGUCUUCAAUACACUAUUUUAUGUUCUAUUUUGUUUUACUUACUAAGCAUUUUUUUUUUUAUGUUCAAUGUUCAUUGUCAUUCAUUAAUGUAUUCUGCUAAUAACUGUUGUUAGAACACUGUCAUUUUUGCUACAAUUUCACAUCAUUUAAAAAAAAAAUUAAUAAAAGUACCUAAUUGACACGUUGUUGUUGAUGAUUUUAUGUAAAACUCUAGACACUUCAAGAUAUUAUAAGACCAGGCAGUCAGAGGGUAAAAACAAUAUUAAUAAAUAAAAUAUACAAAUAAUACUAAUAUUAAUGAUACUAACAUACUAAUAUUAAUGAAAAUCUAUCAUUAAAAAGGUUAUUUAUUACACCAUUAAGGUCCUAUAAAGCAUUUUCAAAGCAUGGUUCUAUAUGGAACCCUAUAAAAAAGGUUCUAUUUAGCACUGAAAAGGGUUCUGCUAUUGUUACAAGUCGAAGAACCCUUUUCUGGUACUGUUCAGAACCAUUUUUCUUAAGAGUGUAGCAUAUGAUAGAUUCAGAGCUUACAGCAUGGAGUAAAGGCCACAAAAUUUUAAUUUUAUUUUAAUCGGGUUUAAUUGAAACAGCCCUCCCAACACAUUAUUUAAUUCAUUUUAUAACACAACCUCAUAAAGGGACAGAACAGUGGUCAGAUUGAGAUCCAGUGGAUAUAAAUAACAGGAGCAUGAGCACAAUACACACUCACAUAAACACUGGUGUUGCUUAAAGAGAAACAAUAGAUGCUUUUAUUUGCAUGGCCUAAUGUCAUCUCUAUAUUUAAGCACCACAGGGUCUUAUACCACUAUACACACAGAGAUAAAGUAUCUGUUUCAGAACAAUAUUUACAAGGUUCUAUUAACAAGUCAAGCAAUGAACCCAGCCUGUGGGGACAUUUCUUCAAAAUGGUCAUGUUGCUUCUUGAUAAAAGAUUAAAGCUCUAUCGUGUUUGAAAAUAAAGUCACCAUCACUAAUCCCUACCCUAUACCUAACUGAUAGUGCUAACAAAAGCUCUUUGAUCGAGUGUUGUGAUUUGUGUUUCACGGGACACAUACCUGAGCACUCUAUAUUGCAAGUUCAGUGCUGUACCAGGUGAGCUUCCAAGCAAGUUUACUACAUCAGAAAAGCCAUGUGGAGCUAGUUAUGUGAUGCAAAUGUCAAAAUACAUUAGUUUACAAAUCACGCAUUAUGGUAAAAGUGUUUUGAGGUUCUAACAUAGUAUUGUCCAAGCAACCGUUUGAAAAUAAAGUUUUAUUUAAUAAUCUAAUCAAUAAUGCAUUUAAGAUUUGUGUGAAAAGGAACAAAUUAGUUGGUGUUUUACUGCCACUAGUGUUCAUUCGGAUGGAAACUGCAGUUAAAUGCAUGAAUAGGUAUGAUUUUAUACUUUUUUUCUUUUCUUUUUUUUUUUUUUACAAACAUUUAGGUAGAUUUUUCAAA
Onychostoma macrolepis is the source of this 1770-nucleotide long non-coding RNA. RefSeq lists it as uncharacterized. NCBI's taxonomy places the organism in Eukaryota, Metazoa, Chordata, Actinopteri, Cypriniformes, Cyprinidae. The transcript is spliced from 3 exons. The record is from RefSeq and is a predicted model, not a curated record.